Molecule: ribosomal RNA, 460 nt
Filed under: uncultured bacterium
Lineage: Bacteria
Description: partial 16S ribosomal RNA
Rfam family: Bacterial small subunit ribosomal RNA
Source: RNAcentral
CCUACGGGUGGCAGCAGUGGGGAAUAUUGGUCAAUGGGCGAAAGGCUGAACCAGCCAAGUAGCGUGAGGGAAGACUGCCCUAGGGGUUGUAAACCUCUUUUAUGCGGGGACAAAGGGGUCCACGCGUGGACGUGGGCAGGUACCGCAUGAAUACGGACUGGCUAAUUCCGUGGCAGGCGGCGAGGGAAAACGGGAGGUCCGGGCGUUAAUCGGAUUUUUUGGGGUUAAAGGGAGCGUAGGCCGGUGUUUAAGCGUACCGUGAAAUUUUGGGGCCUCACCCUGGGCGUGCGGUGCGAACUGGAGUCCUUGAGUGCGCGAGAGGUAGGUGGAAUUCGUGGUGUAGCGGUGAAAUGCUUAGAUAUCACGAAGAACCCCGAUUGCGAAGGCAGCCUACCGCAGCGUUACUGACGCUGAAGCUCGAAAGCGUGGGUAUCGAACAGGAUUAGAUACCCCAGUAGUC